UUAUUUUGCCAUAAUAUUUUAAGAUUUCGUGCUUUAAAAUGUUAGGGCUUUUUUUCCUGCAAUAUUUUAGGAUUUUGUGCUUCAAUUUUUUUUUUUGACAUCGUAUUUUAGGGAUUUUUGCUGUAAUUUUAGGCUUUUUUUUUCCAUAACAUUUUUGUGGGGUUUUUUUCCUAUAAUAUAUUAGGUUGGGUUUUUUUUGCUGCAAUAUUUUAGGUUUUUUUUGCCCUAGUGUUUUUGGUGUUUUGUGCUUUAACAUUUUAGUUUUUUUUUUCUGUAAUAUUUUAGUGGUUUUUUCCUGUAACAUUUCAGGGGUUGUUCUUGGUAUAAUUUUAUUUCCGGAUUUUUUUUCCCUGAUGUGUUUGGGGUUUUUCCCUGUAACAUUUCAGGGAUUUUUCUCUGCAUAAUUUUAUUUCAGGAUUUUUUUUCCCUAAUGUAUUUGGGUCUUUUCCCAUAAUAUUUUAGGUUUGUUUUUUAUUUUUGUCAUAUUUCAGGGUAUUUUUCUGUGGUAUCGUGGGCCCUUCCCCUCACACUCGCCGCCCCCGAUCCCUCCACCCCUGGGGUUGCCCCAAAUGAGGAUUUCCGUUGCGGGGGGUGUUUUUUUGCCCGUUUUCCCUGUUUUUCCAGGCGUACUGCGUGACGGAGCCGGGGGCGGGCUCGGACGUGGCCGGGAUCAAGACGAAGGCCGAGCGCAAGGGGGACGAGUACGUCAUCAACGGGCAGAAGAUGUGGAUCACCAACGGCGGCAAGGCCAACUGGUAUUUUUUACUGGCUCGGACGGAUCCGGACCCAAAAACCCCGGCCAGCAAAGCCUUCACCGGGUUCAUCGUGGAGGCCGACAGCCCCGGCAUCCAGGUCGGGAGGAAGGAGCUGAACAUGGGCCAGCGCUGCUCGGACACGCGGGGGAUCCUCUUCGAGGACGUGCGGGUGCCCAAGGAGAACGUCCUCCUGGGCGAGGGCGCCGGCUUCAAGAUCGCCAUGGGGGCCUUCGACAAGACCCGCCCCCCCGUGGCGGCGGGCGCCGUGGGCCUGGCCAGAAGAGCCAUGGACGAGGCCACCAAGUACGCGCUGGAGAGGAAGACCUUCGGGAAACCCAUCGCUGAGGUGAGUUCAAAUGAAAAAAACCACAAUUCUGUAAAGAGAUCAAAAAAAGAAAAUGUCGAAAAUGGAUAUUUUCACCCGCUCCUGGGGAAUUUUCAGAUUUCCUUGAUAUUUAGGGUGUGAGGGUUUAUUUUCUCUCCGCCGUCGCUUGGGGUUUCUGCUAAAAUCUCAGUGUUGAGGAAGUUCUCAAUCCACAAAUUUUAGAGUCCUCAAUCUGUGAAUUUUAGAAUCCUCAAUCUGUGAAUUUUAGAAUCCUCCUCCACAAAUUUUAGAAUUCUUAAUCCAUGAGGUUUAGAAUUCUCAAUUUGUUACUUUCAGAAUUCUCAUCCCCAAAUUUCAGAAUUCUCAAUCUGUGAAUUUUAGAAUCUUCAAUCCCUGAAUUUCAGAAUCCUCACCCACAAAUUUUAGAAUCUUUAUCCACAGAUUUCAGACUCUUCGGUCUGUCAAUUUUAGAAUCCUCUAUUGUGACUUUUAGAAUGUGCAUCCACAAGUUUUAGAACUCUCAGUCCAGGAAUUUUAGAAUCCUCAUCCCCAAAUUUCAGAAUUCUCAAUCCAUGAAUAUUAGAAUCAUCAUCCAUGAACUUUAGAAUCCUCAAAUUCUAGAAUUCUCAUCGACAAAUUUCAGAAUUCUCAAUCCAUGGGUUUUGGAAUCCUCGAUACUCAAAUUUUAGAAUUUUUGAUACGUUUUAGAAUCCUCAAUACCUGGAUUUUAGAAUCCUCGAUUGUGGAUUUUUGAGUCCUCGAUUGUAAAUUUUUGAGUCCUUGAUGUGAAUUUUUGAGUCCUUGAUUGUGAAUCUCCUCUGACCCCUGUCCCAUCCAUCCCAU
RNAcentral lists this long non-coding RNA (1923 nucleotides) under Calidris pugnax (ruff). Its description in RNAcentral is "lncRNA (ENSCPUG00000001881.1)". The record is from RNAcentral. Lineage: Eukaryota; Metazoa; Chordata; Aves; Charadriiformes; Scolopacidae.